UACGAAGGGGGCUAGCGUUGUUCGGAAUCACUGGGCGUAAAGGGCGCGUAGGCGGCUUUAUAAGUCGGGGGUGAAAGCCUGUGGCUCAACCACAGAAUUGCCUUCGAUACUGUAGAGCUUGAGACCGGAAGAGGUAAGUGGAACUGCGAGUGUAGAGGUGAAAUUCGUAGAUAUUCGCAAGAACACCAGUGGCGAAAGCGGCUUUCUGGUCCUUAACUGACGCUGAGGCGCGAAAGCAUGGGGAGCGAACGGG
Molecule: ribosomal RNA, 253 nt
Filed under: uncultured bacterium
Lineage: Bacteria
Description: partial 16S ribosomal RNA
Rfam family: Bacterial small subunit ribosomal RNA
Source: RNAcentral